UAUAAUGUGACAGAAAACACACAGUGUGA
Molecule: non-coding RNA, 29 nt
Filed under: Mus musculus (house mouse)
Lineage: Eukaryota; Metazoa; Chordata; Mammalia; Rodentia; Muridae
Source: RNAcentral